This 240-nucleotide ribosomal RNA is filed under the name Herpotrichiellaceae sp. MUT 5408. RNAcentral's name for it is "partial large subunit ribosomal RNA". The record is from RNAcentral. Lineage: Eukaryota; Fungi; Ascomycota; Eurotiomycetes; Chaetothyriales; Herpotrichiellaceae.
GCGCUGGCAACCAGACUUGCGUGCGGGGGUUCCCCCUUGCUUCUGCUUGGGUUACUCCCCCGUAUCCAGGCCAACAUCGGUUUUGGCGGCCGGUUAAAGGCUCUGGGAAUGUAUCUUCCCCCGGGAAGACUUAUAGCCUGGGGUGUCAUGCGGCCUGCCGGGAUCGAGGAACGCGCUUCGUGCUCGGAUGUUGGCGUAAUGGUUGUCAGCGACCCGUCUUGAAACACGGACCAAGGAGUC